Camelina sativa (false flax) is the source of this 320-nucleotide non-coding RNA. The record is from RefSeq and is a predicted model, not a curated record. Lineage: Eukaryota; Viridiplantae; Streptophyta; Magnoliopsida; Brassicales; Brassicaceae.
GCUGUGUAUAUCAGUGCUCCAUCAUUUUUUUCCUCAAAUAUUGAAGAUAGUUUAGUCUCUUUACCUUCUUCACACGAAGGCGAGGCGUUUAUCACAAUCGCUUUUUCUUGAACGACGACUGCUACAAAAGUUGUUGUCUCUAUCCCUCAACUUGUCAUCGUUUCAAGGACAUUUGGUUAAGUGAUAAAUCAUCUUCGUCCCAGUCUCUUCCCCUCUUGGAUGGAAUCCUAGUCAAUUCGGAUUCCUACAAAAUGAGAUGCAUGGUUUAUAUAAUUAAUUAAGAACUCCCUCAUGCAUAUUAAAAAAUCAUUUACCGUUUA